Oncorhynchus tshawytscha (Chinook salmon) is the source of this 1510-nucleotide long non-coding RNA. Lineage: Eukaryota; Metazoa; Chordata; Actinopteri; Salmoniformes; Salmonidae. The record is from Ensembl.
AGGCCAUGGCCUCUAAAGCACUCCUCUGGGACCCCACCAGAGACCAGAGAACCAGAGACCCAGAGACCCAGAGAUCCAGAGGACCAGAGACCAGAGAACCAGGCAUGCAUGGUGCUGCUCUUUUCAUGAAAAGUUACCCUCCACCUCCCCACCACCAUCACCAGCUAAGGCCCAUCACUGGAACUCCUUUCUCCCAGCGCGGGGGGAUUCGAUGCCAGCUGCCCCUCAUAGGACUACCUGCCAUAACAGCAUCUGGCUCCGAGCUCGGAGAUGAGGCCAUUCCCCAAACUAUUUCAUACUGCAUUUUGCCUCUGUUGUUCAUUCAGUUAAUGAACGACAAAACCUUAAACUCGAUUGAACAUAUUUUCUCCAGAUCAUGUUUAGUCCAGUUAACCCACCUCUAUAAAGAGGAAUAUUAGGCUGUAUAUUAAUGUAUUGUCACCUCCAUCCAUUUAGUUGUGGCUUAUGUCUUUUAGGAAAAUGUAUAUUUAGCAUUUUACUGUAACAUUGGGAUAUGGACAAAUAAGACUAUUUCUCCUAGAAUGUGCGUGAAAACAAUAAAUGCAUUUUGCAAUCAAAGCUAUGGUAACUUUAAUUCAGCUUUCAAAACAUUGGCCAUGAGUAAACCCCUUGUUCAAAAUGCAGUUUCAGGUAGGUGUUUUAGGGGGCGGUGUAGACAAUAGUUAGGAAAUAUAAUCUGACAACUCCUGCAUUGUGGUUUUUAUGAGAACCAUGGCAGCCCAGUGAAUGAGUUGGGCUGUCAGUCACAGUGCACAUGACCAGGUGUGAUUUUUUUUUCUUUGCUUUUUUCUGCCUCAGGUCACUCUGUGCUCUUAAAUUACAUGCUCCUUUUGUUACAGGCAUAAAUGCAUUGUGUGCCACUUCCUCAAUGGUUCCCACUUUAGUCAGUGCAAGUUCUCUUGUUUAAGCAAAUGUAGGUCAAUUUGCUCAAAUUUGAUUGUGAAUUGUGUUUUAUGCUAUGUGCAACUCUUGUUCUGUCUGUUGCAUAAAGGACUUCAAUUUCCCUCAAUUUUGUUGAAAUAUUUUUCACUUUCGAUGUUUUUCAAAUGUAAGCCUUUCCCAACCACAGGAAUAUUCCUUAUUUUACUUUUUAGAAGCGCAUUGUAGGCUCCUUUUUUUCUGGAAAUGCGAUUCUCAUAGUAAUUUUGCAUAACGGUCUGCUAGCCGUUAUCCUCUCUACUGAAUAGUGUAAUAUGUUUAUGUUCCGUACUGUGUGCCACAUAUAUCAUUAGGUCUGAGGUUUUAUACAUUACAUCCGUUCACUUAUCCCUUCCAGUGGUUACAGCGUGAUGUAGGUUACUUUACCCACAACAGCGUGGUGCAGGCUAGAGGAUUUUACCCACCAGCCGACAUGCAUGCACAAGCAACUCAGUCAUAUCAAAAUUUAGCUAAAUUAUGAAUAUGAUGAAAAACUGAUUAUAAUAACUUUCUAGUGAGAAUUUAAAGGUUUUAAAUGUUUUUGUUGUUUUUUUUAAACCUGCCCAGCAAC